ACAAUAUGAUGAGCCUUGGAAAUUGUGACAAGCUAAUAGUUAAUAAACAAAGAAGCUCCCCGCGGCCCGUACUAGGGGAAUUCGGAUUCGAGAACGCAAAACCUUUCGCUAGAGGGCCUGUAUUCAUAUCGAACGAAAGAACUUUUUCCCCUCUUCGCGUAAACACUAUUGGCCGUAAAACAUAAAAUACACUGCGAACAUAAUUCCCUUAUCGAUUUUUUGUGCGACAGAUUGCUUAAAUAGUUUCCUGAUAACGAGAAGAAAUUUUGCGCAUGUGAUAGUUAAUACACAAUAGAAUUCCUAUUCGAUUAAGCUGGAAUGACUGUAAUGAUCAACAACGAUUUUUGCAUUAACGGCUCCAAACGAAAUGACACGCCUCACUAGCUAUGUAAGGAAAAAACCAAAUAGUUAAGUUUAUAUUAAUUAACUACUUGCAAAGAUUUUCAAUUGUAAACAGAGAUCCACCUUUAUGUGAUGUUAUAGGAAUAUGAUAGUGUGAACUAAUUAAGACAUUCAGUUCCAACAUUAGGGAAGUCUGGAAGGUAAUGGAACUCUGAAAAUUGCCAGAGAAAUCAAUUGGCAAUGUUCUUAAUCUAUUUUGUUUUGUUUGAUGAUGUUGGGGAACCAGGCCUAGAACCCUCACGACCUUCCUCUGGUGUCAGUGGUGAUGUCCAGCGCUGAUGAACUUCAGGAGUGAAGUUUGUUAUUUGAACAUGAACAGCCUGAUAUUUUUCCAUUCUAGGGGGAAUUUGUAGCUUCCGAAAAGAUACUUCAUCCCCUACUCUUGGGACAUAUUCUCCAUCAAUGCUAACCAAAUAAACAAACUUUGUGAGUAUAAUGUGUGACAUGUAGUCUUUAGGAAGGAAUAACAUACUCAGAAACAUGGACAAAUAUAUCAUCACCAUCAUCUUUCUUGAUGAAACCAUGGCCCUUUACUCUGCAAAAACUUUUGAUUACCCCAUGUUCAACUGGGUGCUCCAACGCCAGCUCGAGCCUUUAAUUACAAAUGAUUUAUCACAUUUUAUAUUAAAAAUAAGCUUGAAACUUAGUUAUAAGAAUUACAUAGAUAAGGUUCUCGUCCUUUUUGUUAUAAUAGGAUUCGGAAUUAAGGAACUUCUUGAUGGCGAUUCACUAAUCGACCCCAUAGAAGUAUUCGGAGACCGAGCGGGGGACGGUAUUUCUUUGGGAAAAGACAUAUUCGACACUUGAUACUGAAAAUA
Long non-coding RNA from Daphnia carinata, 1220 nucleotides. RefSeq lists it as uncharacterized. The transcript is spliced from 2 exons. NCBI's taxonomy places the organism in Eukaryota, Metazoa, Arthropoda, Branchiopoda, Diplostraca, Daphniidae. The record is from RefSeq and is a predicted model, not a curated record.